This 456-nucleotide ribosomal RNA is filed under the name Streptococcus sp. oral taxon C56. Its description in RNAcentral is "bacterial SSU rRNA". It matches the Rfam family "Bacterial small subunit ribosomal RNA", at positions 28 to 470 of the family's 1533-position model. Lineage: Bacteria; Bacillati; Bacillota; Bacilli; Lactobacillales; Streptococcaceae. The record is from RNAcentral.
GACGAACGCUGGCGGCGUGCCUAAUACAUGCAAGUAGAACGCUGAAGGAGGAGCUUGCUCUUCUGGAUGAGUUGCGAACGGGUGAGUAACGCGUAGGUAACCUGCCUGGUAGUGGGGGAUAACUAUUGGAAACGAUAGCUAAUACCGCAUAAUAACAGUUGUUGCAUGACAACUGUUUGAAAGGUGCAAUUGCAUCACUACCAGAUGGACCUGCGUUGUAUUAGCUAGUUGGUGGGGUAACGGCUCACCAAGGCGACGAUACAUAGCCGACCUGAGAGGGUGAUCGGCCACACUGGGACUGAGACACGGCCCAGACUCCUACGGGAGGCAGCAGUAGGGAAUCUUCGGCAAUGGACGAAAGUCUGACCGAGCAACGCCGCGUGAGUGAAGAAGGUUUUCGGAUCGUAAAGCUCUGUUGUAAGAGAAGAACGAGUGUGAGAGUGGAAAGUUCACACU